RNAcentral lists this long non-coding RNA (221 nucleotides) under Elaeis guineensis (African oil palm). RNAcentral describes it as "long non-coding RNA (EGUI_LNC008556)". Lineage: Eukaryota; Viridiplantae; Streptophyta; Magnoliopsida; Arecales; Arecaceae. The record is from RNAcentral.
ACCUUGCAUAAGCUUGGCAAACUCUUGAUAAAAAGAUUCAUUAAUAGCACCAAAGAUAAUAUUAUUUAUAAAGAUUUAUACCACUAACAAGUCAUUAUCUUUUUUUUUAAGAAUAACAUUUUAUCAAUAUUAUCUCUAAUAAAUUCAUUAUCUAAAAAAAAUUUAUUCAACCUUUCAUACUAUGCACAUGGAGCUUGUUUCAAUCCAUAUAAGGCCUUAUG